UCGCCCGCCGCGCGCGGCGGGCGGGGCGGGGGCACGGGGGGCCUACGGGAGGCAGCAGUGGGGAAUAUUGCACAAUGGGCGCAAGCCUGAUGCAGCCAUGCCGCGUGUAUGAAGAAGGCCUUCGGGUUGUAAAGUACUUUCAGCGGGGAGGAAGGCGAUAAGGUUAAUAACCUUGUCGAUUGACGUUACCCGCAGAAGAAGCACCGGCUAACUCCGUGCCAGCAGCCGCGGUAAU
This 235-nucleotide ribosomal RNA is filed under the name uncultured Klebsiella sp. RNAcentral's name for it is "partial 16S ribosomal RNA". It matches the Rfam family "Bacterial small subunit ribosomal RNA", at positions 284 to 524 of the family's 1533-position model. The record is from RNAcentral. Lineage: Bacteria; Pseudomonadati; Pseudomonadota; Gammaproteobacteria; Enterobacterales; Enterobacteriaceae.